Molecule: non-coding RNA, 101 nt
Filed under: uncultured Dialister sp.
Lineage: Bacteria; Bacillati; Bacillota; Negativicutes; Veillonellales; Veillonellaceae
Description: Glycine riboswitch
Rfam family: Glycine riboswitch aptamer
About the family: This family represents the bacterial glycine riboswitch.
Source: RNAcentral
ACACAACUCUGGAGAGUCCCGCGGAAAGGAGGCGGGCGCCGAAGGUGUAAAGGGAUCUCACCCGUGGAUCCCGAAUCUCUCAGGCAAAAGGACAGGGCUGG